RNAcentral lists this ribosomal RNA (505 nucleotides) under uncultured bacterium. Its description in RNAcentral is "bacterial SSU rRNA". It matches the Rfam family "Bacterial small subunit ribosomal RNA", at positions 28 to 502 of the family's 1533-position model. The record is from RNAcentral.
GACGAACGCUGGCGGCGUGCUUAACACAUGCAAGUCGAACGAGAGGAGAAGGAAGCUUGCUUCUUUCAAAUCUAGUGGCAAACGGGUGAGUAACACGUAAACAACCUGCCUUCAGGAUGGGGACAACAGACGGAAACGACUGCUAAUACCGAAUACGUUCCUUAGGUCGCAUGACUUUAGGAAGAAAGGGUGGCCUCUACUUGUAAGCUAUCGCCUGAAGAGGGGUUUGCGUCUGAUUAGGUAGUUGGUGAGGUAACGGCCCACCAAGCCGACGAUCAGUAGCCGGUCUGAGAGGAUGAACGGCCACACUGGAACUGAGACACGGCCCAAACUCCUACGGGAGGCAGCAGUAGGGAAUCUUCCACAAUGGACGCAAGUCUGAUGGAGCAACGCCGCGUGAGUGAAGAAGGUUUUCGGAUCGUAAAGCUCUGUUAUAAGAGAAGAACAAAUUGUAGAGUAACUGCUACAGUCUUGACGGUAUCUUAUCAGAAAGCCACGGCUAACU